Molecule: ribosomal RNA, 840 nt
Filed under: uncultured Subdoligranulum sp.
Lineage: Bacteria; Bacillati; Bacillota; Clostridia; Eubacteriales; Oscillospiraceae
Description: bacterial SSU rRNA
Rfam family: Bacterial small subunit ribosomal RNA
Source: RNAcentral
CGCCUACCAUGCAAGUCGAACGGAGUCAAGAGGAGCUUGCUUUUCUUGACUUAGUGGCGCAACGGGUGAGUAACGCGUGAGUAUCCUGCCCUGGAGUGGGGGACAACAGUUGGAAACGACUGCUAAUACCGCAUAAGCCCACGGAUUCGCAUGGAUCUGCGGGAAAAGGAUUUAUUCGCUUCAGGAUGGACUCGCGUCCAAUUAGCUAGUUGGUGAGGUAACGGCCCACCAAGGCGACGAUUGGUGGCCGGACUGAGAGGUUGAACGGCCACAUUGGGACUGAGACACGGCCCAGACUCCUACGGGAGGCAGCAGUGGGGGAUAUUGCACAAUGGGGGAAACCCUGAUGCAGCGACGCCGCGUGGAGGAAGAAGGUUUUCGGACUGUAAACUCCUGUCGUUAGGGACGAUAAUGACGGUACCUAACAAGAAAGCACCGGCUAACUACGUGCCAGCAGCCGCGGUAAAACGUAGGGUGCAAGCGUUGUCCGGAAUUACUGGGUGUAAAGGGAGCGCAGGCGGACCGGCAAGUUGGAAGUGAAAACUAUGGGCUCUACCCAUAAAUUGCUUUCAAAACUGCUGGCCUUGAGUAGUGCAGAGGUAGGUGGAAUUCCCGGUGUAGCGGUGGAAUGCGUAGAUAUCGGGAGGAACACCAGUGGCGAAGGCGACCUACUGGGCACCAACUGACGCUGAGGCUCGAAAGCAUGGGUAGCAAACAGGAUUAGAUACCCUGGUAGUCCAUGCCGUAAACGAUGAUUACUAGGUGUUGGAGGAUUGACCCCUUCAGUGCCGCAGUUAACACAAUAAGUAAUCCACCUGGGGAGUACGACCGCAAGGUUGA